RNAcentral lists this small nucleolar RNA (106 nucleotides) under Theobroma cacao (cacao). RNAcentral's name for it is "Plant small nucleolar RNA R71". It matches the Rfam family "Plant small nucleolar RNA R71". From Rfam's summary of the family: R71 is a member of the C/D box family of snoRNAs containing the C (UGAUGA) and D (CUGA) box motifs. Multiple nearly identical copies of this snoRNA have been identified in Arabidopsis, and it is thought to function as a 2'-O-ribose methylation guide for 18S ribosomal RNA. The record is from Rfam by way of RNAcentral. Lineage: Eukaryota; Viridiplantae; Streptophyta; Magnoliopsida; Malvales; Malvaceae.
AAUCCAUGGUGAGGACAUCUUCUCAUCAAAUCCUUAUACCUCUCCCAAGUCUUAUAUAGUGAUUUAGAAUCAAAUUGCAUGAAAGAAGUAAUAUCAUUCUGCAUUU